This 184-nucleotide ribosomal RNA is filed under the name uncultured bacterium. Its description in RNAcentral is "partial 16S ribosomal RNA". It matches the Rfam family "Bacterial small subunit ribosomal RNA", at positions 1319 to 1500 of the family's 1533-position model. The record is from RNAcentral.
CAUGAAGCUGGAGUUGCUAGUAAUCGCGAAUCAGCAUGUCGCGGUGAAUACGUUCCCGGGCCUUGUACACACCGCCCGUCACACCAUGAGAGUUGGCAAUACCCAACGUACGUGAUCUAACCCGCAAGGGAGGAAGCGUCCUAAGGUAGGGUCAGCGAUUGGGGUGAAGUCGUAACAAGGUACC